GAUGAACGCUGGCGGCGUGCCUAAUACAUGCAAGUCGAGCGAACAGACGAGGAGCUUGCUCCUCUGACGUUAGCGGCGGACGGGUGAGUAACACGUGGAUAACCUACCUAUAAGACUGGGAUAACUUCGGGAAACCGGAGCUAAUACCGGAUAAUAUAUUGAACCGCAUGGUUCAAUAGUGAAAGACGGUUUUGCUGUCACUUAUAGAUGGAUCCGCGCCGCAUUAGCUAGUUGGUAAGGUAACGGCUCCAAGGCAACGAUGCGUAGCCGACCUGAGAGGGUGAUCGGCCACACUGGAACUGAGACACGGUCCAGACUCCUACGGGAGGCAGCAGUAGGGAAUCUUCCGCAAUGGGCGAAAGCUUGACGGAGCAACGCCGCGUGAGUGAUGAAGGUCUUCGGAUCGUAAAACUCUGUUAUUAGGGAAGAACAAAUGUGUAAGUAACUAUGCACGUCUUGACGGUACCUAAUCAGAAAGCCACGGCUAACUACGUG
Molecule: ribosomal RNA, 495 nt
Filed under: uncultured bacterium
Lineage: Bacteria
Description: partial 16S ribosomal RNA
Rfam family: Bacterial small subunit ribosomal RNA
Source: RNAcentral